Molecule: transfer RNA, 72 nt
Filed under: Urocitellus parryii (Arctic ground squirrel)
Lineage: Eukaryota; Metazoa; Chordata; Mammalia; Rodentia; Sciuridae
Also listed under: 2 other names
Description: Spermophilus parryii (Arctic ground squirrel) tRNA
Rfam family: tRNA
About the family: Transfer RNA (tRNA) molecules are approximately 80 nucleotides in length. Their secondary structure includes four short double-helical elements and three loops (D, anti-codon, and T loops).
Source: Rfam by way of RNAcentral
GGGGAUGUGGCUCAGUGGUAGAGCACAUGCCUAGUAUGCAUGAGGCUCUGUGUUUGAUCCCCAGCACACACA